Molecule: small nuclear RNA, 23 nt
Filed under: Arabidopsis thaliana (thale cress)
Lineage: Eukaryota; Viridiplantae; Streptophyta; Magnoliopsida; Brassicales; Brassicaceae
Description: snRNA_11021
Source: RNAcentral
UGAAAUGGAAGGUUGAAAAGUAU